AGACGGCCUUGGUGGAGAAGGGUGAUUUCUCACCGGGGACCAGCAGCAGAAGCACUAAAGCUUAUUCACGGCGGGGUCCGAUAUCUACAGAAAGCCAUCAUGAAAUUAGAUUACGAACAGACUGAUUCUGCUCUACGUUUAGGAUUUGUUUGCCUGUACGAAAAUAAAGAAUCUUAACCUGCAACCGUCACCGUCUCCACCACCUGACACUGCCAACAGAAUUAUGACAUGGAUGAACAAAGAGACCCAAAUCCUGGAGCCAAACAUUACAAGAUGUUAUGAUCACACUGGAGCUGAUGAAAACUGAUGAACAACAGAGAUUUAAGGAUGCUGAUAUGCUUCAAAGUUAUAUUUCCCAUCCCUGUUUUUCUCUCCUUGGGAUAAUAUUAAUAGCCUUUUUGGCAGGUCAAGCUUUUUUGGCCUGAUAUACUAUAAAUACUUACUUCAAAGUGCUCUUGAAUACUUAAUUCUGAUUGGUCGGAAGAUGUUGAUUAAUAUUCUGUAACAGCAGCUCUGACUGUGGUUCUGUCUGCCAGGUAUAUAUUAAUGUGUUCAUUCUAAUAUGUUAUUUCUACAGUAACACCUUAUAUAGGACUUUGUAGGACGAA
Molecule: long non-coding RNA, 608 nt
Organism: Pangasianodon hypophthalmus (striped catfish)
Lineage: Eukaryota; Metazoa; Chordata; Actinopteri; Siluriformes; Pangasiidae
Exons: 3
Source: RefSeq, a predicted model, not a curated record